This 429-nucleotide ribosomal RNA is filed under the name Acidobacteriota bacterium. Its description in RNAcentral is "Acidobacteria bacterium partial 16S ribosomal RNA". It matches the Rfam family "Bacterial small subunit ribosomal RNA", at positions 355 to 776 of the family's 1533-position model. The record is from RNAcentral. Lineage: Bacteria; Pseudomonadati; Acidobacteriota.
UGGGGAAUUUUGGACAAUGGGGGAAACCCUGAUCCAGCCAUCCCGCGUGUGCGAUGAAGGCCCUCGGGUUGUAAAGCACUUUUGGCAGGAAAGAAACGUCAUGGGUUAAUACCCCGUGAAACUGACGGUACCUGCAGAAUAAGCACCGGCUCACUACGUGCCAGCAGCCGCGGUAAUACGUAGGGUGCAAGCGUUAAUCGGAAUUACUGGGCGUAAAGCGUGCGCAGGCGGUUCGGAAAGAAAGAUGUGAAAUCCCAGAGCUCAACUUUGGAACUGCAUUUUUAACUACCGGGCUAGGGUGUGUCAGAGGGAGGUGGAAUUCCUCGUGGAGCAGUGAAAUGCGUAGAUAUGCGGAGGAACACCGAUGGCGAAGGCAGCCUCCUGGGAUAACACUGACGCUCAUGCACGAAAGCGUGGGGAGCAAACAGG